RNAcentral lists this ribosomal RNA (402 nucleotides) under uncultured bacterium. Its description in RNAcentral is "bacterial SSU rRNA". It matches the Rfam family "Bacterial small subunit ribosomal RNA", at positions 356 to 773 of the family's 1533-position model. The record is from RNAcentral.
GGGGAAUAUUGCACAAUGGGGGAAACCCUGAUGCAGCGACGCCGCGUGAGUGAAGAAGUAUUUCGGUAUGUAAAGCUCUAUCAGCAGGGACGAAUAAGUGACGGUACCUGACUAAGAAGCCCCGGCUAACUACGUGCCAGCAGCCGCGGUAAUACGUAGGGGGCAAGCGUUAUCCGGAUUUACUGGGUGUAAAGGGAGCGUAGACGGUGAUGUAAGUCAGAUGUGAAAGCCCGGGGCUCAACCCCGGGACUGCAUUUGAAACUAUGUUGCUAGAGUGCAGGAGAGGUAAGUGGAAUUCCUAGUGUAGCGGUGAAAUGCGUAGAUAUUAGGAGGAACACCAGUGGCGAAGGCGGCUUACUGGACUGUAACUGACGUUGAGGCUCGAAAGCGUGGGGAGCAAAC